This 430-nucleotide long non-coding RNA is filed under the name Carica papaya (papaya). Its description in RNAcentral is "long non-coding RNA (CPAP_LNC006063)". Lineage: Eukaryota; Viridiplantae; Streptophyta; Magnoliopsida; Brassicales; Caricaceae. The record is from RNAcentral.
UUGAUAAAAGAAUUUGUUGUAAAUUAUGCUCCAUUGGUCUUUUUGUGUUUUCUACCCACCUUUACCUCCGUGGCGGUGAGAUAGUGUGAUGUCUUUACUGGGCUGGUGUAGCUCAUUCCUUAUUUAACCAUUUCAGAUCAGGAAGACAUUGUUCCCGAGCCCGUUUCGCAGGAAGACGGCGAAGGGGACGCCUAAAGACUCCGUAGUGAUAUUUACAGUUUUUAUUUUCGACUUUCUCCUUUAAUUAGUUUGUUCUUUUAUACUUUGAGCACGUUUUUGGUUUUAGUGUAAGGGAUGUUAAUCAAAAUUUUUAUUUCGCUUCCGCAUUUGACAUUUUUAAUACACAUAUUUCAUUUUAAAAUUCCGGGGUCGUUAUAACCGAGAAGUGAACCUGGGAUCCCUGUCGGACACUACUAUUACUGGAACCCCA